This 370-nucleotide ribosomal RNA is filed under the name uncultured organism. Its description in RNAcentral is "bacterial SSU rRNA". It matches the Rfam family "Bacterial small subunit ribosomal RNA", at positions 526 to 896 of the family's 1533-position model. The record is from RNAcentral.
CGUAGGGUGCAAGCGUUAAUCGGAAUUACUGGGCGUAAAGCGUGCGCAGGCGGUGAUGUAAGACAGGUGUAAAAUCCCCGGGCUUAACCUGGGAACUGCAUUUGUGACUGCAUCGCUGGAGUGCGGCAGAGGGGGAUGGAAUUCCGCGUGUAGCAGUGAAAUGCGUAGAUAUGCGGAGGAACACCGAUGGCGAAGGCAAUCCCCUGGGCCUGCACUGACGCUCAUGCACGAAAGCGUGGGGAGCAAACAGGAUUAGAUACCCUGGUAGUCCACGCCCUAAACGAUGUCAACUGGUUGUUGGGUCUUCACUGACUCAGUAACGAAGCUAACGCGUGAAGUUGACCGCCUGGGGAGUACGGCCGCAAGGUUG